Molecule: ribosomal RNA, 450 nt
Filed under: uncultured Glomeromycotina
Lineage: Eukaryota; Fungi; Glomeromycota
Description: SSU rRNA
Rfam family: Eukaryotic small subunit ribosomal RNA
Source: RNAcentral
AGCAGCCGCGGUAAUUCCAGCUCCAAUAGCGUAUAUUAAAGUUGUUGCAGUUAAAAAGCUCGUAGUUGAAUUUCGAGAUCAAUUUGUUGGUCGUGCCUCGGUACGUACUGGCAAUUUUGGUUUCUCCCUUCUGAAGAACCAUGAUGUCAUUAAUUUGGUGUCAUGGGGAAUCAGGACUGUUACUUUGAAAAAUUAGGGUGUUUAAAGCAGGCUCGCGCUUGAAUACAUUAGCAUGGAAUAAUGAAAUAGGACGUUUGAUUCUAUUUUGUUGGUUUCUAGGAUCGACGUAAUGAUUAAUAGGGAUAGUUGGGGCAUUAGUAUUCAAUUGUCAGAGGUGAAAUUCUUGGAUUUAUUGAAGACUAACUACUGCGAAAGCAUUUGCCAAGGAUGUUUUCAUUAAUACAAGAACGAAAGUUAGGGGAUCGAAGACGAUCAGAUACCGUCGUAGUC